RNAcentral lists this ribosomal RNA (1408 nucleotides) under Costa Rican Gliricidia little leaf phytoplasma. RNAcentral describes it as "partial 16S ribosomal RNA". It matches the Rfam family "Bacterial small subunit ribosomal RNA", at positions 138 to 1370 of the family's 1533-position model. The record is from RNAcentral. Lineage: Bacteria; Bacillati; Mycoplasmatota; Mollicutes; Acholeplasmatales; Acholeplasmataceae.
UAUGUAAAGACGAAAGAAAUCUUAGAGGUUACAUGGUAAGGAAGAGAAGAAUCCACCUGUGCGAAAUGCUGUUUUAACUUUUAAAGCCCUUUUUCGAAGGUAUACUUAAAGAGGGGCUUGCGCCACAUUAGUUAGUUGGUAAGGUAAAAGCUUACCAAGACGAUGAUGUGUAGCUGGACUGAGAGGUCGAACAGCCACAUUGGGACUGAGACACGGCCCAAACUCCUACGGGAGGCAGCAGUAAGGAAUUUUUGGCAAUGGAGGAAACUCUGACCGAGCGACGCCGCGUGAACAAUGAAGUACUUCGGUAUGUAAAGUUCUUUUAUUGAAAAAGAAAAAAUAGUGGAAAAACUAUCUUGACAUUAUUCAAUGAAUAAGCCCCGGCUAAUUAUGUGCCAGCAGCCGCGGUAAUACAUAAGGGGCGAGCGUUAUCCGGAAUUAUUGGGCGUAAAGGGUGCGUAGGAGGUUUGAUAAGUCUAUAGUUUAAAUGCAGUGCUUAACGCUGUAGCGCUAUAGAAACUGUCUGACUAGAGUUAGAUAGAGGCAAGCGGGAAUUCCAUGUGUAGCGGUAAAAUGCGUAAAAUAUAUAUGGAGGGAACACCAGAGGGGGCGUAGGCGGGGCUUGCUUGGGUCCUUAACUGACCGCUGAGGCACGAAAGCGUCGGGGAGCGCAAACAGGGAUUAGAUACCCUGGUAGUCCACCGCCGUUAAACGAAUGAAGUACUAAAGUGUCGGGGUUUUUGACUCGGUACUGAAGUUAAACACAUUAAAGUACUCCGCCCUGAGUAGGUACGUACCGCAAAGUAUGAAAAUUAAAAGGAAUUGACGGGACCCCCGCACAAAGCGGGUGGGAUCAUGUUUGUUUAAUUCGAAAGAAACACCGAAAAAACCUUACCAGGUCCUGAAAAAAUUUUGCGACAUUAUAGAAAAUAUAAAUGAAAGGUUAUCAGAAUUACAGGUGGUGCAUGGUUGUCGUCAGCUCGCGUCGUGAGAUGUUAGGUUAAGUCCUAAAACGAGCGCAACCCUUGUCGUUAGUUGCGACCACGUAAUGGUGAGCACUUUAGCGAGACUGCCAAUGAAAAAAUUGGAGGAAGGUGAGGAUUACGUCAAAUCAUCAUGCCCCUUAUGAUUUGGGCUACAAACGUGAUACAAUGACUGUUAAAAAAAAGUAGCUGUAACGUGAGUUUAUGGCCAAUCUCAAAAAAACAGUCUCAGUUCGGAAAUGUAAAACUGCAACUCGACUUGCAGAAGUUGGAAUCGCUAGUAUCCGAACGGAUGGGUCAUGAAGGCUCACGUGAAUCCCAUGGCACCCCUUCCCCGUUUUUUUUUUUCCUUCCCUCACCCAACCCCCAAAAAAAACUUUUCCCCUCUUGGGGGAACUAAUGAAGGGGGAAAUUUUGAGAAUUUU